Molecule: unclassified non-coding RNA, 2837 nt
Filed under: Mizuhopecten yessoensis (Yesso scallop)
Lineage: Eukaryota; Metazoa; Mollusca; Bivalvia; Pectinida; Pectinidae
Description: uncharacterized LOC110460655, transcript variant X3
Source: RNAcentral
CCACCAAAACCUGGCACGUCCUUAAAUGACCAUAGCUGUAAAUAUGACGUACAACACAAACAAACCAAACCAAAGUAAUCACCGCAUCAUUGAGGGGUCUUUUCGAAGGAAGGACUAAAUUCCAAUACAUACACUGUCUCCACGUUCCAAGCUUCUGAAAAUUGCAGGUACGGGAUGAUGCACACAUGAAAGAUUUUGGAUCAAUGCUGGACAGAACCGAGUCACUGGGACGCUUAGGGAAUCGGUGGAAUAACACGACUGAACCUGGUCACUGGGACGCUUAGGGAAUCGGUGGAAUAACAUGACAGAACCUAGUCACUGGGACGCUUAGGGAAUCGAUGGAAUAUCACGACAGAACCUAGUCACUGGGACGCUUAGGGAAUCGCUGGAAUAAAACGACAGAACCUAGUCACUGGGACGCUUAGGGAAUCGUUGGAAUAACACGACAGACCCUAGUCACUGGGGCGCUUAGGGAAUCGCUGGAAUAAAACGACUGAAGCUAUGGCUCGUUCAGCACUUACCUGUCAUACGCAAAGCGUUAAGGACCAAACGCCACAAACGCUGCAAGCAAAUAAUGCUUGCAAAGACUCGUUGCUGACUGAAUGUACAGACGGUAUUCGUUCACAUUACCCGAAACAUAAAAAUACACCUGGAUGCACGACUGAGGUAAUCAGUGAUGCACCGAUAGUUCAUGUUGGGAAUUCUUCAAGAGAAGACACUUACAGUAAUCUUAUUACUGACCCAUGUGAAUCCCAAAGUAUGACAGGAAAAUCUUCAGCAAUGUCACCGAUUGCAAAUAAGUCAGAGUUUGGAUUUACACUGUCUGAAGACGUAAAGCUGUCCACGGAAUAUGCUUCAGAUGACACCAGUUUCCUUUCGCAAGAACAAAUGUUCAAAAACCAAUUGAUUGGGAGUCAAACUACUACAGAAGCAGUACCUACGUACACAGAUAAAGUCAAAGACACAGGAAAAUCUUCAGUGCAAAUAAUAUCACCAAAACAGAAAUUUGUGAAAGACUCCACAAUACAGAACACAAAAUCGAACUGUUACAUGGAAAACGAAGCCCGGUUUAAGUCCUUUUUUAACCUUCCUUUUGAGAAAUUUCGUACUGACAUUAAGCAUUUAUGUGAGAGUGGUUUCUAUCAUGAUGAUAAAACGACAAAAAUUGUCUGUAUCAUUUGUGGAUAUGAAGUGCAAGAAAACCAGACCUUAGAAGAGUUAAAUAAAGAUCAUAUUUGGAAAUCACCAAACUGUUCUGAGUUUGUAAAUACUUCCAAAAGGCAUGUGGAAUGUUGUGAGAAAAUCCACCGAGAAGAAACUGAUGGCAAAUUAACCAAUACUGAAUGUUCAGGGUCAGGUUUCACUCAUCAGCCAAAAGCAUCUACCGGGAGUGUACAUAAGGGCAAUAACAUUUACACUAAGAUGCCAGAUGCAGAACAUUCGCCUAUUUCCAAGUUCUCUGGCACAACAGCACAACGAGGACGUUUUCAAGGAACGCCACGUCCAAGCAAAAUAUCGGGAGUAGCACGGAAAGUUCAGAAGAGGAGUAAAACAGGCGUUGCACGCCCUCGAAACACAACGGCAUCGUGCAUCGGUGAUCAGCAGUCAAAAAAUGGCGCUUCACAAUCCCAGCAAAACCAACAAAUUGCAAAUGAUACUGCUGAAUCAAAACAAUUUCCAAACAGCUGUAAACGAUGUAUUGAGGACGAAUUUCAUCUACAGAAAAUUUGUGAUGUAAGGAAGAAACCAAAAUAUGCAGCUUUUGAAAAGGUGCAAAACCAGGGAAAACAUGUACCAUCAUCUGUAAACUGUGUUUCCCAGGAAGUUCUCGAUGCCAUUUUAGUGGAGCUGGGGCAACCAAAUGCAUGUCUCACAGACGACAGCAUGGAGGUCAUUCUUAUUCUGAUUGGCCGCUAUUUUCCGCAGUACUACAUACCGUAUGAUAUGAACAAAUUUUUCAUCGAAAAUGGGGUGCAAGCAUUGGACACCUCAUUAGAGUUCGCUCAGGUAAUAUUUGUGCCACCAAAACCAUCUGAAGCACCAUCUUUUACCAAAAGAAAUAAGGAGGAAGAGAUUGGUCACUUUUUAUUGUUGACCAACAUUGGUUGUAGGAAAAUUUUCCAGGUUUGUGAUAGCCUUGGAGAGCGCUCUACAAAACUUCGCGGCGACAGUAGUCACGAAAUCAUCAGAAAAUGUCUCGGGUUUGAGAAAGCGCCAAUCGUGGUAGUAGAGGAAAAGGCUGUCUCGGGACAAAUCGGGGAUAUCUAUUGUGGGUUGUUCGUUAUUGCGUGUUUGGUCGAUAUUUGCCUUGGAAAUGGUGAUAGGUUAGAAAGUUUUGUCUAUGACCAACAACUCAUGAGAGGCCAUCUUAUUAAAACAAUAAAGUGUCUAUUUCAAAACAGGCCAAUCGAAGAGUUCCCUGCCAUAAACAUCGAUGGCGACAAACGACAAAGUAAGUUUACUCUCAUCUGCUCGAAUAUGUUGCAAUAAGUAGGUGUUAGAAAGUCUUGGAAUAACGACUAACAUUUAAUUUGUCUUGCAUCGAAAUUUGUAAGCAAAGAUCAUUUGUUAAAAGAAAUACAUUUUCGUUUCAAGCUAUUUAGAACCUAGCGGAAUUUGACGAUCUUACACAAAGUAGACUUUUGGUUACGUUGUAUGGAUGCGUCGUGAAUGAACAGAAGAUGGUUAUACUGUUGCUUUGUAAAACGUGUUAAUGUUUUGUAGUAAUAGAUAAUGACACUGCUGAUUUGUGUAGUAAUGAUGUUGAUUUGUGAAACUUUAUUUGUGUUAUAAUAAAUGACUAUAGUGUUGUGAAUAAAGUCAUGAAUGUCAUCAAA